This is a small nucleolar RNA of Cebus imitator (Panamanian white-faced capuchin), 132 nucleotides long. The record is from Ensembl. Lineage: Eukaryota; Metazoa; Chordata; Mammalia; Primates; Cebidae.
GAUGCCCCUAGAGGCAUUGCAGAUGUGGCUGCUGUGUCACAUAUGUGUCAUUAGGUGGCAGAGAUUAGAGAGAUUAUGUCUAUGCUCAGCGUUCUGCCCUGUGAACGUUUGAAUGUUUCAUAGUCUAACAAU